This 437-nucleotide ribosomal RNA is filed under the name uncultured bacterium. RNAcentral's name for it is "partial 16S ribosomal RNA". It matches the Rfam family "Bacterial small subunit ribosomal RNA", at positions 29 to 507 of the family's 1533-position model. The record is from RNAcentral.
AGCGAACGCUGGCGGCAGGCUUAACACAUGCAAGUCGAGCGGGCAUCCUUGUGGUGUCAGCGGCAGACGGGUGAGUAACGCGUGGGAACGUGCCCUUCGGUUCGGAAUAACUCAGGGAAACUUGAGCUGAUACCGGAUACGUGCGAGAGCAGAAAGGUUUAUCUGCCGAAGGAUCGGCCCGCGUCUGAUUAGCUAGUUGGUGAGGUUACGGCUCACCAAGGCGACGAUCAGUAGCUGGUCUGAGAGGAUGAUCAGCCACACUGGGACUGAGACACGGCCCAGACUCCUACGGGAGGCAGCAGUGGGGAAUAUUGGACAAUGGGGGCAACCCUGAUCCAGCCAUGCCGCGUGAGUGAUGACGGCCUUAGGGUUGUAAAGCUCUUUUCUCCGGGACGAUAAUGACGGUACCGGAGGAAUAAGCCCCGGCUAACUUCGUG